Ceratotherium simum simum (southern white rhinoceros) is the source of this 1573-nucleotide non-coding RNA. NCBI's taxonomy places the organism in Eukaryota, Metazoa, Chordata, Mammalia, Perissodactyla, Rhinocerotidae. The record is from RefSeq and is a predicted model, not a curated record.
GGAGCGACCAAGCCAAAAUUGGUUCUCUCGGCUCGGUUUUUUCCCAUAUAGGGGCUAAAUCUUUUGUGUACGCAUGCGUCUUGUCCAGGCUGCGGUUGGCAGAUGAUCCUAGCCGUCAUUGGAAGAACCAAUGGAGAUCCCUCCUCCGGUUUCUAACCAGACAACUCUCCUUAGUUCUGGGGCUGCCUCUGCUUCUGACAGAGCACCUGGAAGAAAUUAUCACCUGAAAACCCCACCUCAGACACCAUGAAGAGCCCACCCCGCAGGCUAACCACCUUCUCUCCUGCUGAGGGGAAGCUCUGCCUCUCACUGUGGCAGCGUCCUUUCUUCCCUCCUCAGCCGACGGACCGCACCAAAGAAACCAGAACCCAAGCCGAAGUAUCAGAAACGUGUAUUCUUUUUCUUUUAAUAGUAAACCUCUUUACAACAAAUAUAGUGAAAGAGUUUUCAAACAAAACUCAUAAGAAUCUCGAGGACUUAGUCUUUUCUUAUUGUGUAGAAUACUAAGAAAGCAUCACCAUACAGCACGAAAAGAAAUAUUGAAAACAAAUCAACAGCCACACACUUGGACUCGCCCUGCCCAGGACCCAGGAGGAGCCCCAGGAGUGUGGGUGAUUGUCGGGUUUGGGGGUGGGGCACCUCCAUGGCCUGUCCCCCUCCCUCCCCCACCCCCGGACCUGAAUGGGGAAGACAGAGAGAAUCCAGAUUCUCCAUAUAACAUUCCAGCCCCCUCCCCCCAUACAAAUCCCAUUCCUUCUACAACUGCUUAGGGGGUAGAGAGGUGGCAGAGGGGAGGACAGAGUUCCCAGGCUCCGUGUCUCCUCCCCUCCAUGAAAGCCUAAAUUCACCCCCCAUCCCACCCCAGGGGAUUCCAAAGAGUCAGUUAAAAAUAUAUAGAUAUAGAUAUUUCUAGAUACACUUUUACAUCAUUUCUGUCUCUCCAAACAAAUAAAUAAUCAGCAAGAGAAGGUGCAUUACUUCCUUCCUGUCCAAGGUGGGGAUGGCUGGGUAAGGGUCAGGGGUCAGUCUCGCUGCAUUGAGUGCACUGCUGGGGGGAGGGGAAAUGGUGUGUUCCAUUGUGGGGGGGGUCCUCUUGCCCACUGUCCCUGAAAGCUGUGGGAAACCUGGGAAGGGAGGGGCAUUGGAUGACUCCAGUGAUUACUUUGGCAAAUGCCCAGUUCUUCGGAGGAAGGAGUGGGUGGAGGCAAAUUUGGCUUGUGAGAGGAAGAAGAAAUGAAGUCCCCACUUGAGGUCCGGGUUCCCAGGGACCCACUCAUUUGGCCGGCCAGGAGCCCCUACCCCCAAGAGGAACCUUGGGAUAGUGACUUGCAAAAAUGUCACAUAUUCAUUCACAGACCACCCCUGCCCCCAGGGAUAGAGAAGAAAAGACAAACACAUCCACACAUGGUAAUCUAAAGCCAGGUUUGCCGGUACAUGGCAGAGGGCAAAACUGGUGAAUAUUGCACCGUGAACCGCAGGGGCCCUCACCCCCGCCCCAUGUUUAAUGGUGGCCAAGCCCAGCCUACACAGGUGGGCAGACUGACAUCGGGAAUAGCCUGAGAAGGGAAGGCCA